AUUGAACUCUGGCGGCAGGCCUAACACAUGCAAGUCGAGCGAGCGGCGGACGGGUGAGUAAUGUAUGGGGACUGCCCGAUAUAGGGGGAUAACUCCUGGAAACGGUAGCUAAUACCCCAUACUAUCGUAUAACCCCUAUGGGUUUAGCUAGUAGGUGAGGUAAUGGCUCACCUAGGCGACGAUCCCUAGCUGGUCUGAGAGGAUGAUCAGCCACACUGGUACUGAGACACGGCCCAGACUCCUAAGGAGGCAGCAGUGGGGAAUAUUGCACAAUGGGCGCAAGCCGGAUGCAGCCAUGCCGCGUGUAUGAAGAAGGCCCUAGGGUUGUAAAGUACUUUCAGUCGGGAGGCGGGAAAGAAAGAAGAAGCACCGGCUAACUCCGUGCCAGCCGGCGCGGUAAUAG
This 403-nucleotide ribosomal RNA is filed under the name uncultured bacterium. Its description in RNAcentral is "partial 16S ribosomal RNA". It matches the Rfam family "Bacterial small subunit ribosomal RNA", at positions 30 to 526 of the family's 1533-position model. The record is from RNAcentral.